Molecule: ribosomal RNA, 454 nt
Filed under: uncultured bacterium
Lineage: Bacteria
Description: bacterial SSU rRNA
Rfam family: Bacterial small subunit ribosomal RNA
Source: RNAcentral
UACGGAAGGCAGCAGUGGGGAAUAUUGCAACAAUGGGCGCAAGCCUGAUGCAGCCAUGCCGCGUGUAUGAAAAAGGCCUUCGGGUUGUAAAGUACUUUCAGUCGUGAGGAAGGUGUUAAGGUUAAUAACCUUAGCAAUUGACGUUAGCGACAGAAGAAGCACCGGCUAACUCCGUGCCAGCAGCCGCGGUAAUACGGAGGGUGCGAGCGUUAAUCGGAAUUACUGGGCGUAAAGGGCACGCAGGCGGUUAAUUAAGUUGGAUGUGAAAUCCCCGGGCUUAACCUGGGAAUGGCAUUCAAGACUGGUUAGCUAGAGUCUUGUAGAGGGGGUAGAAUUCCAUGUGUAGCGGUGAAAUGCGUAGAGAUGUGGAGGAAUACCGGUGGCGAAGGCGGCCCCUGGACAAAGACUGACGCUCAUGUGCGAAAGCGUGGGGAGCAAACAGGGAUUAGAUACC